This 90-nucleotide transfer RNA is filed under the name Bacteroidales bacterium. Its description in RNAcentral is "tRNA-Ser". It matches the Rfam family "tRNA". From Rfam's summary of the family: Transfer RNA (tRNA) molecules are approximately 80 nucleotides in length. Their secondary structure includes four short double-helical elements and three loops (D, anti-codon, and T loops). Further hydrogen bonds mediate the characteristic L-shaped molecular structure. tRNAs have two regions of fundamental functional importance: the anti-codon, which is responsible for specific mRNA codon recognition, and the 3' end, to which the tRNAs corresponding amino acid is attached (by aminoacyl-tRNA synthetases). tRNAs cope with the degeneracy of the genetic code in two manners: having more than one tRNA (with a specific anti-codon) for a particular amino acid; and 'wobble' base-pairing, i.e. permitting non-standard base-pairing at the 3rd anti-codon position. Lineage: Bacteria; Pseudomonadati; Bacteroidota; Bacteroidia; Bacteroidales. The record is from RNAcentral.
GGAGAAAUGGCAGAGUGGUCGAAUGCGGCGGUCUUGAAAACCGUUGAACUCGCGAGGGUUCCGGGGGUUCGAAUCCCUCUUUCUCCGCCA